GAUGAACGCUGGCGGCGUGCCUAAUACAUGCAAGUCGAGCGAACAGACGAGGAGCUUGCUCCCCUGACUUUAGCGGCCGACGGGUGCGUAACACGUGGAUAACCUACCUAUCAGACUGGGAUAACUUCGGGAAACCGGAUCUACUACCCGAUAAUUUAUUGCACCUCAUUGUUCAAUAGUUAGAGUCGGUUUUUCUGUGACUAAUAGCUGGAUCCGCCCUGCAUUAGCUAGGUGGUAAGGUAACUGCUUACCAAGGCAACGAUGCUUACCCGACCUGAGAGGGAGAUCGGCCACACUGGAACAGAGACACGGUACAGACUCCUGCGGGAGGCAGCAGUAGGGAAUCUUACGCAAUGGGCGAAAGCCGGACGGAGCAACGCCGCGUGAGUGAUGAAGGUCUUCGGAUCGUAAAACGCUGUUAGUAGGGAAGAACAAAAGUGUAAGUAACUAUGCACGUCUUGACGGUACCUAAUCAGAAAGCCACGGCUAACUACGUG
RNAcentral lists this ribosomal RNA (497 nucleotides) under uncultured bacterium. RNAcentral describes it as "partial 16S ribosomal RNA". It matches the Rfam family "Bacterial small subunit ribosomal RNA", at positions 28 to 507 of the family's 1533-position model. The record is from RNAcentral.